Molecule: long non-coding RNA, 351 nt
Organism: Aedes albopictus (Asian tiger mosquito)
Lineage: Eukaryota; Metazoa; Arthropoda; Insecta; Diptera; Culicidae
Exons: 2
Source: RefSeq, a predicted model, not a curated record
CAGGCCCGGAUUUAAGGGGGGGCAAAGGGGGCAAGUGCCCCGAGCCCCCCGAUGAAGGGGGCCCCCCAAAAAUCCGAAAUACAAUUUAUAUUUUUCAACGAAACCAUAUGAAAUCCACGUGAAUGAGCGUUCAUAUUUUAUACAAAGCCCCUAUAGCCACAGCUGUUAACGUGUGGAUAUUCAGCAUGACCAUACUAAGGGUGACGCGUUCAAUUCCCGGUCGUUCCAAGAACUUUUCGUAAAGGAAAAUCCUUGACUUCCUUAGGAAAAGAGUGUCUUCGUGUCUGCCACACGGUAUGCACAUACGAAAUGGUCAUUGACAAAGGAAACUCUUUGUUAAUAACAGUUCCA